Non-coding RNA from Coturnix japonica (Japanese quail), 9147 nucleotides. The record is from RefSeq and is a predicted model, not a curated record. Lineage: Eukaryota; Metazoa; Chordata; Aves; Galliformes; Phasianidae.
CUGCUAGAUUGUUAGUACUGAUUUUUAUUUAAAUCCUGCACAUAAAAUUUUAUCUCUGCUCCUUUUAAAAUUCUGAGUUACAUUUCAAUUGAAAAAUAUAUUGUGUGUCUGAGAGGCAUUUACUGCUGCCAAAUUGCCUACUUGCUGUCUCUACCCUCUGCACAGCUACUUCUGGAGGGAGUGGUUGUCUCAAGGAAAUCACAAGGAGUUUCAUCCAUUCUGCAAGUGGGCUCAAAAUUUAGCUCCAAUCUUCUUGUUACUUUUUAAUGUAUUUUUUGUGUGUGUGGUUCUGCCUGUAUACAAAGUAACUUAGAGCAGCAAAGAUCUAUAGGUUGUUUAUGUUUAACUGAGAGACAAAUACACUAUUGAUAAUAAAUUCUCAGCUACAAAACAACUUUUUCAGAAUAGCCACUGUUUGGUCUCCAUCAGCGUUCAGCAAGCAUCAAUGAAUGUCAACGCCUGCAGUUUUUUCCCACACGGAGGAAUCAAUGACGCAUCUUUGCUCCAUAUGCAUUUCCAUGUCAGAUGCCAUUUUGUCAGACUGCCCCUCUGCUGCCAACUGUCACACUGCAACAACAUAUAAUGGAGCACUGGUGGUGAUGUCUGGUUUGGACUCAGUGCACCUCCAGGCCUACUUCAUGUGGUGUUCCGCUGAGCAGCCACUCUGGCAGCAUAAAAGGACAGGACAAAUAAGAGCACCUUACUCCGAAGUUGCCUUAUAUUUCUGUAUGCACUGAAGCACAGAAGAAGCUAUUAGGUUCUACAGAGUCCUAACUUCUUGAAGGGAAACUUCCUGAAGAGAAUAGGCUGAAGAAGGCUGAAGGCAGCGGCAGCUAACAAUGAAAGGAAAAAGAAAAGGUUUAAGAUAGCAAAACCAAGACACUUGACUGUCAGAACUUGUGAAACUAAUUAUAUUAGCAAAUAAGGUACACUGUGAAGCAGGAAACAAACAUAUUCUUUGUAAUCAAGUUUUCUUUCCACUACUAAAUAAUAAUCAGUUUGAUGAAAUGCAAGAGGGAUAUUUAUCUUCUUUCUUUACAAGAUGCCGUGUGAACUUCUCUCUCCUGCCAAUUAGUAUUGAUCUUAUUCACUUUAUGCUUCCUUUCUAACAGUGAGGUAAUAGAAUCUGACACAUAAUUUGCUGAAAUAAUUUUUCAUUAGACUUCCCAGACCUUGUCAAUACCUUGACAUGGUAGGCAGAUCAUUGUAACAGUAUCUAGUAGUGUUCAUUUAAUAUCUUUAUAUUAGUUAGUCUGCAAAAUAAGUAUGCUUUGAGAAGGUUUUGGUGUUCAAAUUUUUGUAGCAAAGUUGAGUGGCAUAUAGCUGGAUGCAAACACAAGAUGACAAUGUGCUUUGAUAGCACUACGAUAUUUGGUCUGGUCUUGAAUUGCUCAUUUUUUGGUGUUUUUUUUUUCUUUUUUUGUGUGUGUGUGUGUUUUGUUUUGUUUUGUUUUGUUUGUUUGUUUGUUUGUUUGGAGACAGAAGCAAAAUGCAUCAAGGAUUUAUAUUAAAGCCAGCUAAAAAAAAAUCAGGCGAGCCAUCUACCAACAUUUGCUUUUUGACGUGUGCGCUUCCACAGAUAGUGUUUUCCUUUUGUUUGACUAACAAGGGUUGUAAUUCCAGCAUACUAAAAAAAAUCACAUUGAAUAAUUGGUUUGAUCUCCCACAUCUUCCAAGCUGAAGAUUAAUGCACAGGUGAACAAUACCUUUUUUCUUCCCUGUUUUCAGAGAUUUCAUUUAUUCUUUGUCCUUCUUUGUUCUGCGUUUUGUUUUCUAAUUAGUAUCUAAGCUCUCUAUAGACACAAAUUCUCCUUUCUUAGAACAGGACAGUGUCUCAGUCAAGCUAUAGAACUGGAAAUCAAAUAAUGGAAAAUAAUAUUCUUCAUAUGAAGCCAAGCAGGUUUUUGGAGAAUUGUUACAACAGUCAACUUCUAACUUCACUUUGCGUGGUGAGAAUGGUUUGUGCAUUCCAAGAAGCACCACAGAUAAAAGCUUUGGAAGCCCUCCAUGACCAGCAUGAUCUCUCAGAAUUGCAAAACUGUAAAGCAAUCCAAGAAUUCCUCUGAAUUAUUCACACAGGACAAUACCUUGGUGUGCCGGCGCAGACUGAAUGGCAGAACAAAGCCACAAGUGAGUUAUGCAUUCUCUAUCACUAUAAAACACAUGGAAAUUCCCCUCUGCUGAUGGGAGCCUUGUAUUAUCAUACUCUCAAGCUGUACAACAAAAAGCUUGGGAAUAUCACCCCUGGAAUCAGUAAAGUGCGCUGAUUGUUGGUCACUGAGGAGAAAUUAUCACUUCUGAUUCUGGACAUUGGAGUUUGCAUGGUGCAAAGCCACCAGAGUCUCAAAUACUCUGAGCAAUUUCCUUGAUUACAUCAGAAGAAAGGCAAACAAGUUGGAAUAGAAUCACAGAAUCAUAGAAUCAUAGAAUCACAGAAUCAUAGAAUCACAGAAUCAUAGAAUCAUAGAAUGGCCUGGGUUGAAAAGGACCUCAAAGAUAUCUAGUUUCAAUCCUCUGCCACAGUCAGGUUUUCCAGCCCCUAAACCAGGCUACCCAGAGCCACAUCCAGCCUGAAUCACAAAUGUAGGACUGAUCCUGCUUAUCUCUGUGUGUCUACAAUGGAAGUAUCUUCAUGAGAGGUAGGCAAAGAAGCUUUGAAUUUCAGUCAGUUGUAGUAGGCAUAAUUCAUCUGAUCUCAUCAGUAUGUGGUUUUGAAUGAUGUCAACUGUUUGUUUCCUGGCUCCCACUGGCCUUCUUACCCACAUCUACAGUGACUACAAUAGAAAUCUAAACAGACUUAGUGCAUGUAGACAUAGACCUAUGCAGAUACAUGUAAGUAUGGAUACUCAGUAAUGCAAACGCCACAUUACAACUUUGUAUCUGUCUGAUAAAAUAAGUUUACUUUUACUUUAAUUUUGAUCCUUUAACAUGGUGCUUCACAAGUUCUCAGCCCUGUAGUCUCUCAUGAUGAAUUAAAGACAAAAAAAAAAAAAAAAGAAAGAAAGAAAUGAUCAUACAAAUUAACAAUAAAGCGAGAUUAAGUAACAGUCCUCUAGAAAUUCCAUGUUUUCCUUGCUGUGAAUCUGAAACAGAUCUGAAGUUCUGUUGCACAGAUUUAUACCCAGAAGGUAGACCUUUAUUUCUCUGGACAUGAUCUGCUCCUGAUGUGAGACAGACAAUGUGUUUUCAUGAGGCCAGUUAACAUAAAUGCAUAAAUAAUUAAAUUAAGUAUCAGCAGCCAAGCAACUACAUGCAUAUAGUUGUACUCAUAAAAUGUGCUGCUCAAGAUUCCCCCCAAAAUCAAGAUCAUAUUCAGAGAAGGGCAACAAAGCUAAGGAGGGGGCUGGAGCACAAGUCUUAUGAGGAGUGGCUGAGGGAACUGGGAUUGUUUAGGCUAUAGAAGAAGAGCUUGAGAUGACCUUAUAGCUCUCUACAAAAACCUCCUCAGAAAGAAGAUUGUGACAAGCUGUGCAACUAACAACAGGACUAGAGGAAAUGGCCUCAAGUUACACCAGGGAUGGUUCAGGUUGGAUAUUAGGAAUUUUUUUUCUCCAAAAGAGUGGUCAGCUGCUAGAAUGGGCUGCCCAAGGGAGAUGCUUGAGUCACUGUCUGUAGAGGGUGCUGAAGACUUGGAGGUGUUCAAGAAAUGUUUAGAUGUUGUUCUAAGAGCAGUGUUUAGUGGGGAAAUAUUGGUGGCAGGUAGAUAGUUGGAUUGGGUGAUUUUGGAGGUUUUUCCCAACCUUGGUAAUUCUAUCAUUCUGUGAUCAAAACCUACAUAAAAACUGGCUCAAUAAAUACUUUGGCACUGAGACACAAAUGUAUAAGUUUCCAAGCAAAAAUUAAGAAGCUCAUUUUUCAUUCCAACUGUAACCAAAGGACAAUUACAGACCACAAAAAGCCACUUACUUAUAACCUCACAAAAGCAUAAGAAAAUCUGAAAGCAGAAAGCCAUUAGGGGAAUCAUCUGAGCAGUAAAUAUUAGGCAUACAGAAAAAAAAUCUCUAAACAUAGGCUUCUACAGGAAUCUGUGCAUAUGAAGAGAGAAAUCUAUCUCUAGAGAAGGGUGGGGGUUAUUAAUGCAAAGGGUACUGUUCUCCACUCCAUUCUCUAUUUCAUUCUCAUUGAAAACCUCUACAAAACUAAGCUAUUUUCAUGUUAGCAAAGAAGAUAGUCUAACCAUUCUCACCCAAAGCUAUUUUCCCCCCUGAAGUCAUACUAAUGCUUUAAAAUGUCAGUGCAAAAUAAAUAAGUUAAACUGACUUCUGCUAGGUGAAUUCAUGCAGCAUGUGGCUCAAGAAUAACCUUCCAGAUAAACUAUUUGUUCUUUAGGGUAUUAAACUGCACUUGCAUCAUUCUUUAAUCAGAAUUCACAGCAAUGUCAAAAGUCAUAAACUUUAUCUUCAAUUUAUUACAACAAUAACAUUUCCCUUUGGCCCCUGAAAUAGAUUAUUGGAGUGCUUCAACGAGCAUGCACACAGCCUUAGUGACCCUAAAUGACUGGUCUUAACUCGCCCUUAGAAUUGAUGAGAAAACAGGCAAGCAAGCAAAAUACCUAAGGUCAGCAUCUCCUUAAAAAAUCAACAGAGACACCCUCAAAGUGGCAACAGCUACUACUCAAAUAGCAAAGGUUCAGACAUUAGGAUGGACCUCAACAAAAAUUUAAAAUCAAAAUCAAUGCUUUGGACAAACAUAACCCAAACAACACAGCCACUUACUGGCAGCUUUCCUUUGGCUACAAGAAAUUAGAUCCUUUGUGGGAAAAGUUCUAAUCUCUAGGCAGAUCAGAAAAAAGAAACUACAGUAAUAUUUCUGAUUUUGUUGAAUAUAUUAAGAUGAAGUUUUCAGUACACUAGCUUUCAAUCAGAGACAUUCAACUGAAAGGCAUAAUUUGGGUGUGUACCAUCCAAGAAUGAAAGCAAAGGGAAAAUUAAUGUAAUGUAAUUUAACUAGACAUGAUUGUAAGAUGUGAAACCUAAAUGUUCCAUCCAUUUUGAUGGGAGUGGGAAAAAAUCAUUUAAAAAUAAAUACAAAACUAAUGAUUGUCAGAAUCUUUUGUUGAACUGAUUUUGUUGCAAAAACAUGGAUUUAUUACUGCAACAAAAACUCUUAAUGAAUUGUACCCAAAAAAGUGUUGCUAGAUGCAAUUUCUAGAAAUGUUGCCUGAGAGAGGAAGAAAAGAGAAGCCUGUGAGCACAUGAACUAACCCCGCCUCAGGUACUCAUUGAAAUGAAACUGCUUAUUCAAACUACAUACUGUAAAAUGAAUUACUGUUAUUUAAGACACUUUAACAAGACUUAAAGCCUUAACUACGUUUGUCAAUCUUAUAUAAUCUAUGUAUUUUCUUUAUGCUUUAAUAACAUUUUUGUUGAAAUCCUGAAUAUACAUAGGAACUACUAAAACAAGCCAAGACUAAUAAUAAACUGGCAUUGGUCCUCAGUUCUCUUGGUUAUCGCAAAGCAUGUGCUGAAGUGGAUAUUCUGAAGAUAAAAGAGUGAGGAUUCAGGUCUCCCAGGAAACACAGGCAAGAGUAAUUUAUACAAGCAUUAAAUUAACACAUAAAUGUCAGUGUAAAGUAGUUGCAUAAGGACAUGGGAGGAUGCUCAAGAAAAGAAAUUCCAGUAUGGUCAACCAGUUGAAAAGGAAAGCAAAGAUAUCACCAUAUGAAGAAAAGGGAGAUAAAAGAGUUGUUGCAUCAAGACAUCUGCUCUUUGAUCAUUGACUAAGAGAUGAUAGAGUGUAAUCUUCUGAAAGCAUGUGACUUGAGUAAUAGAUUUCCAGUUUCACCGUUAAUAUCAUUUUCCCAUGUACAGAACAAAGUAAAUAUAUUCUUGCAAUGUUCAGCAAAAGAAUGAUCCAGUCAGAAGUUGGCGCUGGUUUCCUCUUUUAUUUCUGCUUCUUUUGUUGGUCCUAUUUUUGCUUUUUUUCAAAACACAUUGAAAGGCACAUGUUCUUUUGCAAAACAGAAUUAGUUUUUCAGUCUCUCUUGCACACACAUGAACUUACUUAUUUUUAAAUGUUCAUUUUACUUUAACAAAAAAAUAACUAAACAAACAAAAACCCAGCAGAGUGAAUGAUAAAAACUUUACUUAACGCCUGCAUUUACAUUUAAUCAUUACGUGUUUAUAGGUUUAUAGGUGGGGCACAGACAGCAUACUAAUAAAACGUUUUACCAUUAACAAUGAUACAGAAACAUUCUCCCCCUUAAUAAGAAAUCUGGGCUCUGAAUUCUCUCCUCAUCUAAUUGGCCAGUAGACUAAGGGAGAUUUGGUUCCAGAUUAGGUUUUUUAGUCCAUCUAGAUUACUGUAGAGGAAGUUGAGAUGUCUACAAGUGUGUUAGAAUUUUUCAGUUCCCAGUGAAACAAAUAGUCUGAAGAUCUCAAUCUCAAGUAAAUGUAUAGAUAUGUACCUAUUAUGAACAGAAUCCUGCUUGCAAAUUUUUCAUAGACACACUCUUUCAUUCUUCCUGAAUGAAAUAUCACAGCAUUGCAUUGGAAAAGACCCUUAAAGGCCAUCUAGUCCUACUUCCCUGCUGUGAACAGGAACACCUACAGCUAGAUCAGGGUGCUCAGAGCCUUAUUCAGCUUCACUUUAGAUAUCACCAUAGAAAAUAACAAUUUCCAGGAUUAAAGUCACAUCUAAGUAUAUUUUUAUCAUUAAUGUUCAACAGUUUUAUCCAGUAGUUUUACUCUCUUGUGAGACAACAUCUCAAGGCAGUCUGAGUUAUGAAGAAAUAGUCACCUACACCUAUAGUACAUGCAAAGCAAGAUGUGCUCUCACAGAGUUUCCUGGCUCAAUGGAAAGUAGGAUUAUAAGAGCAGCUCCUGCAGCUUUUGUUAGGCAGUGUUUUCUGGUUUUGAUAUUAAAGCUAUGAACACUAGAUUUGAUGUAACACUCAGCAGUUUCAGCAGCUUGCUGUGCGUGGGCAGGAAAGCUGCAUCUGUAGAUUCUCUCUCAGCUGCUGCUUACAAGUUUAAGAGCAGCAGUAACCUACUGGUGAUGCUUUUGAGCCUCCUUAAUAACCAGGUUUUGUAAUAGAUUCACAGAUCAUCAUGCAGCUCCUGGUUUUUGGAAAGUUACUGCUUCCUUAGCCUCAUUGCUAGCUCCCAGGCUACAUGCAAAACAUAUGCCCCGGUGGGUUACAGAGGCACUAUAUUUUUCCUGUGUGGUGACUGAUGUUUGCUAGUACUUUUAAGUAAGCUGAGUAAGUGUAUUCUUGAAAUGCACCACAGCAGUCAUAAGGCAUUUUGUUACUGGGGCAGAAUGUUAUAAGUGUGAUUAUGGAACCAAUUUCAACCAAGCAGUGAAAGUGCAGGCUGAAAAAAAAAAAAAACUAAACUGUAGCAUUCCCAUGAGCCAACACAGCUUUUCCUUAUACUUCAAAUAUAAAAGAAAAAUAUAGAUAUUUCAUUUUUAUAAAAUCAGUUUUGUAAGUUUGUUUGACAAAAGAAAGCACUGUUUAAUUCAUGUGAGAUACUACAUUCGUGGACUAUGGAUUAACUGAAUAUGAAGCUUACAGACUAUGCGUUCUAUUUAUUUAUUUGUUUGUUUGUUGCUAGGGCUCAGGUCCUUCUGUUCCCCUCAGAUACCUGCAGCAGAACAUAAAAAAUAAUAGAGACCAUGACACUUCAUCUAGUUGGGGAACAGAUCCAAGCUCUGCAGCUGUCCACAGCUAUUAUCCACAUUGAUGUAAUUUGCAAAAGGCUCACAUUUCUAACAUUUCUACCCAACUCUGUUGGCAUUUCAAAUUGCGGUGGCUUGCAAUACCUAAAAGAAAAAUGAAAUUUCUAGAGCAGCGCAACUACUAAUACUCAUAAAUAGGAUUUCAUGAGGCUUUUUUUCCUUUUUUCUUUUCCCUUUUUUUUUUUUUUUUCCCUCAAUUAGUCCACUUUUUAAACCCAGGUUCCCCAAAGAGACUGUGUAAUAAAGAAUUAAUUUAUUCACUUCAAAUGCCUGAGAUUUGCCAAACUAUGAAUUAAUGAUAGCCAGUCUUUUAUGUCAAAUCACUCACGUCACUUUCUCUCACCCAGGAAAGUUCAUGACAUUUUGUUAUCUAUUCCAAAUGAAUUCACUGGAUUUUAAGGACACAGGUUCAGCUGUGGACGUUUUUGGACCCUGAGUUGCCUUUCUCAGCAAACCAAUAAAGAGGCCUAUGGCAUUAAUUUGUUUGUGCCUGUCUUCUGGGCUGUGUUGUUACUGUGUCCUAGAAGGAGUGUUUCCAGUAGUCUUCAAUGAGCUCAGAAUCAAGUAAUUAAGAAUGCCAUAACAUUGUGGAAAGGCAUGUUGCUCUGUAUAAAAGGGAUGCAGCUGUGUGUUGUUAAAGGCUGUAAAAUGGAGAAAGGACAUAAUGAAGGAAAAACCGGAAUCUUCCAACAAACCUAGGCUGAAUUUCAAGAACAAAUCUUUCCAGUGGGAGAAAGAAAUGGAACUAGUUCUUAUUUUGGUCAUAGAAUCACAGAAUUAUUUGAGUUGGAGGGACCCUUACAGGUCUUCUAGUUCUCAACUGAAGUCACCAUCCUGGAGGUGUUCAAGAAAAAUGCAGAUGUGGCACUGAGGGACAUGGUUAGUAGGAAUAGUGGGGAUGGAUUGACAAAUGGACUAGAUGAUGUUAGAGAUCUUUUCCAACCUUAAUGAUUCUAUGAUUUUAAGUAGUAUGUGGUACACCAGAGGCAUGAAAACUACCACUACACAAGCCUGCCUACAGACUUUUCUGCUAAGACUAAAGAUAUCUAGAAACGAGAUUUGGAGUUUGAGCCCCUAAGACAGCAGAAAACUGAGCUGAACCACACAUAUUAGCAUCCUUCACACAACAUGUGGUGGCAACCCCUGCCUUCACUUUUCCUUCAGCAUCGCUACCCUGAAAAUAACCCAGGAUCUUCUCCACAUGGCUGCAUCAUCAUGACUGACAUAAGGGUUCUCCUGCUCUCAUCACACCAUAUAAGCCACACCUGCUACCUUAAGUGACAUGGAAUUUUCUGCCUUCAAAACACCCUGCCUUUGCUACUAAUAUACAAGAAAUCUCAUCGUCCCACCAGAGCCACUGCUGGUGCCUGAAAAACCAAAAUCAAACAAACAGCAAAAGAAAACAACAACAAAAAACAAACCAAGAAGAGCUGCCUUAAAACACAGUACUGCAACCCAGUGAAACAA